GGGAGGAGGUGUACCACCCAGCUAACAGUCCAGCUAUAGGGAGGAGCUAUAGGGAGGAGGUGUAGGGAGGAGGUGUAGGGAGGAGCUGUAGGGAGGAGGUGUACCACCCAGCUAACAGUCCAGCUAUAGGGAGGAGGUGUAGGGAGGAGGUGUAGGGAGGAGGUGUACCACCCAGCUAACAGUCCAGCUAUAGGGAGGAGGUGUAGGGAGGAGGUGUAGGGAGGGGGUGUACCACCCAGCUAACAGUCCAGCUAUAGGGAGGAGGUGUAGGGAGGAGAGGUACCACCCAGCUAACAGUCCAGCUAUAGGGAGGAGGUGUAGGGAGGAGGUGUACCACCCAGCUAACAGUCCAGCUUAUAGGGAGGAGGUGUAGGGAGGUGGUGUACCACCCAGCUAACAGUCCAG
Long non-coding RNA from Oncorhynchus tshawytscha (Chinook salmon), 405 nucleotides. The record is from Ensembl. NCBI's taxonomy places the organism in Eukaryota, Metazoa, Chordata, Actinopteri, Salmoniformes, Salmonidae.